UGCUCGCUUCAGCAGCACAUACAUUAAAUUGGAACAAUACAGAGAAGAUUGACAUGGCCCCUGUGCAAGGAUGACAAGCAAAUUCGUUAAGUGUUCUGUAUUUUU
Small nuclear RNA from Suncus etruscus (white-toothed pygmy shrew), 105 nucleotides. Lineage: Eukaryota; Metazoa; Chordata; Mammalia; Eulipotyphla; Soricidae. The record is from RefSeq and is a predicted model, not a curated record.